UGGGGAAUCUUGCACAAUGGGGGAAACCCUGAUGCAGCGACGCCGCGUGAACGAUGAAGCCCUUCAGGGUGUAAAGUUCUUUCGACAGGAACGAUAAUGACGGUACCUGGAGAAGAAGCUGCGGCUAACUACGUGCCAGCAGCCGCGGUAAUACGUAGGCAGCGAGCGUUGUUCGGAGUUACUGGGCGUAAAGAGUGCGUAGGCGGCGAGCCAAGUUUGGUGUGAAAUCUCCCGGCUUAACCGGGAGGGUGCGCCGAAAACUGGUUGGCUGGAGUAUGGGAGAGGAAAGCGGAAUUCCUGGUGUAGCGGUGAAAUGCGUAGAUAUCAGGAGGAACACCUGCGGUGUAGACAGCUUUCUGGACCAAAACUGACGCUGAGGCACGAAAGCGUGGGUAGCAAACA
This 402-nucleotide ribosomal RNA is filed under the name uncultured bacterium. RNAcentral's name for it is "bacterial SSU rRNA". It matches the Rfam family "Bacterial small subunit ribosomal RNA", at positions 355 to 774 of the family's 1533-position model. The record is from RNAcentral.